This 77-nucleotide transfer RNA is filed under the name Acetobacteraceae bacterium. Its description in RNAcentral is "tRNA-Arg". It matches the Rfam family "tRNA". From Rfam's summary of the family: Transfer RNA (tRNA) molecules are approximately 80 nucleotides in length. Their secondary structure includes four short double-helical elements and three loops (D, anti-codon, and T loops). Further hydrogen bonds mediate the characteristic L-shaped molecular structure. tRNAs have two regions of fundamental functional importance: the anti-codon, which is responsible for specific mRNA codon recognition, and the 3' end, to which the tRNAs corresponding amino acid is attached (by aminoacyl-tRNA synthetases). tRNAs cope with the degeneracy of the genetic code in two manners: having more than one tRNA (with a specific anti-codon) for a particular amino acid; and 'wobble' base-pairing, i.e. permitting non-standard base-pairing at the 3rd anti-codon position. The record is from RNAcentral. RNAcentral also lists the same sequence under 2 other names. Lineage: Bacteria; Pseudomonadati; Pseudomonadota; Alphaproteobacteria; Acetobacterales; Acetobacteraceae.
GCGCCCUUAGCUCAGUAGGAUAGAGCAACAGCCUUCUAAGCUGUGGGUCGGUGGUUCGAAUCCACCAGGGCGCGCCA